This is a non-coding RNA of Rattus norvegicus (Norway rat), 86 nucleotides long. NCBI's taxonomy places the organism in Eukaryota, Metazoa, Chordata, Mammalia, Rodentia, Muridae. The record is from Rfam.
GGCUCUGUGGCGCAAUGGAUAGCGCAUUGGACUUCUAGAUAAAUGAAGGCAUUCAAAGGUUGUGGGUUCGAGUCCCACCAGAGUCG